RNAcentral lists this small nuclear RNA (164 nucleotides) under Dasypus novemcinctus (nine-banded armadillo). RNAcentral's name for it is "U1 spliceosomal RNA (ENSDNOG00000045704.1)". It matches the Rfam family "U1 spliceosomal RNA". From Rfam's summary of the family: U1 is a small nuclear RNA (snRNA) component of the spliceosome (involved in pre-mRNA splicing). Its 5' end forms complementary base pairs with the 5' splice junction, thus defining the 5' donor site of an intron. Lineage: Eukaryota; Metazoa; Chordata; Mammalia; Cingulata; Dasypodidae. The record is from RNAcentral.
AUACUUACCUGGCAGGGGAAAUACCAUCAUCACAAAGGUGGUUGUCCCGGGGCCAGGCUUAUCCACUGCACUCUGUAUGUGCUGACUGCUGUGAUGUUCCCAAAUGUGGGAAAUUUGACUGCAUAAUUUGUGGUAGUGGGGGACUGCAUUCGCACUCUGCCUUA